Long non-coding RNA from Equus caballus (horse), 2222 nucleotides. Lineage: Eukaryota; Metazoa; Chordata; Mammalia; Perissodactyla; Equidae. The record is from Ensembl.
CCACAGAUGGGCGGGCAGGGUGCAGAGCUGCAGGCAUUCCCGUGACUUUGGUGGUGGGAAGAUCUGGCAGUUGGUCUGAUUGUACCUAUUUUCUUUAUGAAGGAUAGUCUGAGGUCAGACCGAGAACGAAAGAGGAAGGGGUGUUGAAAAUACGCCUAGAGGGGAGAAAGUGUGAAAUGGUUGCACUGUGGAGAGGGAAAAGGAAUUUUCUAAGAAACCGUAGUAGGAUUGUCCAGCAGUUCAAAUGCCCAUUUGAAAUUUAUGCCAUAAAUGUGAGGUGACUCCAUCCAGAGGAGCUGGGUAAUUUUCUUCGGCAGGGUUCAACUGCUCCGUUGCAGGUGUGAAGUAAACAGUGUGAUUUAACCACAGUUGGGUUUUCUCCAGGUGGAUCCGAGAACAGCGCAAGGAAGUUAAGAGUGUUUGCAGGGGAUUUCGCGUGCUGGAUUAUGAAAUCUCAGCUGGCUGAGAAGUGAAGACCUGAAGGGAGAUAAAUCCUGAAGAAACCGCAGAGCGAUGGCCUGGAAGUCUCUGAGAGAGGAAGAGUUAUUACGUGCUGAGAAGAGCUAAGUUAUCUACAUAACAAAGCAAUGCAGUGGGACGAGGAAGAGGUCCAGAGCAGGGAAAAGUCAGGAGCGUGUUCAGACUGUAGCCCAUUCGAGGCUGUGGAGCAGCUACAGGGCAGAGAAAACUGGGCUUGGAGGAAGGAGCCUCUGAGAGGGGCCGAUGAAGCCUGGCCCUGAGCUAACAUCUGUGCCCACCUUCCUCUACUUUAUAUGUGGGACGCCUACCACAGCAUGGCAUGCCAAGUGGUGCCAUGUCGGCACCCAGGAUCCAAACCGGUGAACCCCAGGCCGCAGAGAAGCGGAACGUGCGAACUUAACCGCUGAGCCACCGGGCUGGCCCCUGAAGUCUUUUUAAUGUUCUUCCAGAAAGUUUAGGAGCUGAGACCUCUUACCAACAGCCAGCACCAAGCUGCCAGGCAAGUGAGGGCGCCAUCUUGGAAGUGGAUCCUCCAGCCCCAGUCAAGCCUUCAGAUGAUUGCAGCCUCAGCUAAUAUCUUGACUAAAACCUUGUAAGAGACCCUGAACCAGAGCUGUCAAGCCUGCAACCCAACAUGAUGUGAUGAAUGGCACUUCGGCAGCCAUCUUGGAUCAUGAGUCCACACGCCACAUUAGAGUCGUUUCGUCGGCCCACAGCUGGAGGAAAACAGCGAUUCUGGAGUGGGGAGAGCGAUCGCCACAAAGACCCGCUCAAAGAUCCGCAGUCUCCCGCUCCAGCCAAUCACUUCCUGGAAGACCACGUGGGAGAGGGAUCUCAGUCACUUAAUCAAAGCGACAGUAUCGAUCAGGGGCCCUAAACUGUUAGAGUGGCGGUGGGAGGCGGGUGGGUAGGAACACCAAACAAAGGAGGAACCCCAGAGAUAGUAUCCCACUUGCUGUUUACCCCAGGGCGGUGACUGACAUGUUGGGGCCAGGAAUCAACCUGUGGGUUGCCGCUUACUUGCCGUUAAGUCUUUGGGCUACUUUAAGAUUUAUGAACAUCUUCUGACUCCCUGGAAUUCUGGAACUUUAGAGCUAGAGAAACUUAGCACCCAUUGUUGUCGCUCCUCAUUUUAAGGGAGAGACCUAGAGGGUUAGGUGACUUGGUCGAGGGUUAGGCCAUGCUGUUCCUGCUCUUAGUUGAUGAGUCACACCUGGAACUCAAGGCCCCAACUCUCCUUCCACCUAUUGUAAAAAUGGCGUCUGCUCCCAGCCUACCUGCCAGGUGGAGGGAGGCGGGUGGGGGUGGGGAGGAGCUGGUGUGAGGGAAACAUCCAUCAAAUGAAUGGGGUCUCCCCUGAGUUAAGAACAUUAUGUAGAAACAAUUUUGUGUUUCAGUGGAAAACUGAAUCAUCUGUAUGUGUUAUCCAUUGCAUACCUUCCAGGGUUAUAAGAUUCAAGCCUAUUCAUUAUCUUUAAGCUAUUUUGCAACUCUGUAAGUUGUAGCUAAUUGACAGAUAUGUAAAUUCUGUCCUACCUGGUAGAUUUGACUUCUUCCCACCACCACUCCGUCGGCAGGAAAAAAAACACUUGUCUUCAUUUGCAAUUCAUCUCUAACAUUCCUUUACUCCAUGUAAAUUGGUGCUGUUUUGACUUUUCCUUUGAACCAGUUAUAACAUCUAUCUGCCUGGUUCUGUCAUAUCAUGUGAGCAAAAUAAAUUCUUUAACGCGUGUUCAUUUUUU